Molecule: long non-coding RNA, 636 nt
Filed under: Manacus vitellinus (golden-collared manakin)
Lineage: Eukaryota; Metazoa; Chordata; Aves; Passeriformes; Pipridae
Description: lncRNA (ENSMVIG00005002541.1)
Source: RNAcentral
UAAGUUUAUAUAUAGAUAGCUAUUAAAUACAUUUGACACUAUAAGGAGCUCUCUCUGCUUCUCUCCAUAGAGAGAGGAACAUUUGUGAGACAGUACACUAAUAUGGGGUCAAUGUUUUAAAUGCAGAUUUCAGCUACAGAAGCUACACCAGUGACAACUAUGAAUAUGGAUAUGACAACAAGCUUGGAAUUACAAGGUUGACAUCAAUGGCUGUAUUAAUAUGAGACAAGAUGGAAACGUAGAUGGCAUGCAAGAGGGUAACCUGCUACUUCUUUCACAUGAUUUUGAAUUGGUCAGAGCUCCACAAAAUCUGCUCCAACUGAUGCCAAUGGCAGAAUGCCUCUUGAUGCUCAUGGGAGCUGCACUGGACCAGCCUUGUAUCCUUUCCACACGCUUACUGUUUUUCAGGUUUCCCUGGCCAAAAAUGCUGCAUCACUCUGCACAUCUUAAUUCUGUUAAUAAAAAAAAACUCAGAAGAAAGAAAUGCACAAGGCCAAGAGGAAUAUGGAACAAUCAGCAGCCAUUUUCCACGUUACAUGUGGACAACAGUAAAACUGCACAAAGAUUUCUGCAUUCCAUUUCCAUGAUCUAAUAUUGCUCCACAGAAUGAGUUCAGUUCCUUGGCUUGUGGCAAAG